This is a long non-coding RNA of Orcinus orca (killer whale), 5100 nucleotides long. RefSeq lists it as uncharacterized. NCBI's taxonomy places the organism in Eukaryota, Metazoa, Chordata, Mammalia, Artiodactyla, Delphinidae. The transcript has 2 exons. The record is from RefSeq and is a predicted model, not a curated record.
GGCCCCAGAGCCGUGCCGGAAGUCCCGCCUCUCCGCACAUGUCUCCGCCCCAUCCGUCCAGGGCUACUUUCCGGUUCCGAAGACCAACUACGGGGUCUAGUACUGCUCUUUCCUCACCGUGUAACAGAACGGAAUGAAAAGUAUGACACCUUUAAAGCAGCGGGCUCCAACCUUUUUGGCACCAGGGACCCAGUUUCGUGGAAGGUAGUUUUUCCACCGACAGGGUGGCGGGGGACUGGUUCAGGCGGUAGUGCACGCGAUGGGGAGAGGCACAUGAAGCUUCGCUCGUUCGCCCACCGCUCACCUCCUGCUGUGCAGCCCGCUCCCUGACAGGCCAAGGACCAGGACCCCUGCUUUAAAGGAUGAGCCUGGGAGGCAGAGCCUUGAGAAUGGGCUGUAUUUCAGGCUAAGGGCAACAUUCCUUUACAAAGGUGCAGAGUCACCAUAACUAAGAACAGACAACAGAGCAAACAGAUUAAAGAUUAAAGGAACAGAUCCAAUAUGGAGUCAGGUUUGUUCUCCCUUACACGUCUCACCCAUUCUCGAGGGCUAUCUCAGAAGUCAUCUCCUUGAUACUUCCCUUGAAACACCCAAUCUCUGAAGUCAUUUCCUGCUUUCCUACUUGAACAGCAUCUGGCACUUAUUGCUGUCUUUUAUUAACCACUACCACUGGCAGCAGUGUCCCUCUUUUCUUGCAUCAGCUAUUCCAAAACUUUACGCUGUCAAGUUUCCUACCCUGACGGACAGCUGCCACAGGUCUUGCCUGUUAUCCCUAGGGGAGCAAUAUCUUGGGAUACAUAGAACCACCUCCCUCACUGCUCCCUUCCCACACCCAUGUUGGGAGUCUCCACUUGUCUCCCUUUGAUCCAAAUAAAUUAAACCCCUUGAGUGCAGAGACGGUCAUCCUAUGCACUCUGUAUGAAAAUGACUAAAUGAAACGCUUUCAGGAGCAGUCUGACAUAGAAUACAGGCUCUAGUUUACACCUAUGGAACCCCUUGACAAAACUGCUGAUCUGCCCUUGACUGGGGACUCAUUUACCAACAUCCCCUCUGCCCACUGCUGCAGUCAGCCAUGUUGUAAGCUAUAACACUUCCUGUUCCCUGGACUAGGGACCCUUUGCUUUUUCCUCCUCACUGGGUUUGGAGGUUGUUUUCGUCUUAUAUUUACUAAGUUUUCUGUUUGAGGGCCUACUUGGUUGAAGGAAACGGAAACUGAUCCUAGUUUCCCCUUCAGAAUUAGGAGCUGUCUUUGACCAGAUUAAAACACCACCGAAGGUGGGUAAUAUUAAGACAUGCAUUUUUCUAAAUGUUUACUCUGGCUGCAGUAUGGAGAACAGAUGGGAGAGGUGCCAAAAUGUGUGUGAGACCAGAUAAGAAUCUAUUGCAGGGCCACAGAGAGAUGCUUAAACUAAAAAGUGUGGAAAAAAAGCAAACAAAACAAAUUUAAGAAAUCUUUAGGAGGUAAGAGAAAUUGGUGGUAAAUUAGAUUAAGGGUAAGGGAGAGGAAGGCAUCAAGAUAAUUAUUAGGUUCCAGGUUUGGGCAAUUGGGUAGUAUGGUGUCAUUCACUGUGAUGUGGAAUGAUGGAACAUGACUAAUGGCUUCCUCCUUACCAAAAGACUCAAAUGGCUUUGCCUGCCAAAGGGCAAAAUGAGUAAAGAUGGGAUGGGACCUCAGAAGGAGAACUUGAGAAAGAAAAAGAUGGGUUAAAGAACUCAGAGGAUAAAUAAAUAAAUAAAUAAAUAAAUAAAUAAAUAAAUAAAAGAACCCAGAGGAGGAGCGGAGGUGUAAAGAAAACAGUAUCAGAACUAAAACAGUAGAAUUCCAUAACUUACCUUGAUCAUUAGUAUCGGUGGACACUGCCCACUGUGUGUCCCAGGUCCUUGCACAGAUGUUUUCACUAUAUCUGACAUCUAAUGACCAAUCAGGGGCCAAGGAAAAUUUUAGCAAAAAAGAUUUCCAUUUUGGUUGGUAUCAAAAUUUUAUUAUUGGUAAUAACUUUGAAGCUGUCAGUAAGAAAGUAAUUUAUUUCACCAAAAACAUUUUACUUCAGAAGAACAUCUCUUUGAUCUAGGAUCAAAGGUCAGUGACCUGGAAAUUAUAUAUAUAUAUAUGUAUAAUCUGGAGCAGACUUCUGUUCUAAAACAGUUAUUGACUAAUUUUACAGAGGAAGGAACCAAAAACAACUGAGGUCUUAAGAAGUUUAUUUAAGUCAUAUGAUAAAAGGUUCUGGCUAGCAUACUAGCAAUAUCCUGCCUCCUAUUUUACUCAGAUGUAUUGCUUUGUCUCAGGUCAUUUCAUGAAUACACACACAUAUACACAUAAGUGAUUGCAAAUAUCUAUAGAGCACAGGUCACCGUGCCUACUCUACCUAAGGCAAGGAUUUUUUUUUAAGAUUUUUUUUUUUUGCGGUACAUGGGCCUCUCACUGUUGUGUUGUGGCCUCUCCCGUUGCGGAGCACAGGCUCCGGACGCGCAGACUCAACGGCCAUGGCUCACGGGCCCAGCCGCUCCGCGGCAUGUGGGAUCUUCCCGGAUUGGGGCACGAACCUGUGUCCCCUGCAUUGGCAGGCGGACUCUCAACCACUGCGCCACCAGGAAAGCCCAAGGCAAGGAUUUUUUUUAAAAAAGAUACUUCAUAACCAUGUUUUUGAAAGCUUAGGGUUUCGUGGAAGUGCCUUAGGAAGCUUGUUAAGAGUGAGGUGGAGGCUGAACAGUGGGCCUAUGGGUCCCAUUCGCGCUUCAACUGGACCUGCUCCCAUCUAUUUUAGAUAUCGGAUGAUUACACUUCUAUGUUACUAUUCUUUUGAAAAUCCAGUUCUGUUAACAAAGUUUGAAAACCACUGUACUUGAUUAAGGACUAGGGUAUGAAUUUGAGUAUGUACACACUACAGCCAAGAGCCUUCACCACAGGUCAUAGGCAUAUAGACACAGGGUCAGAAUACACAGGACCAUUAACACCACAGAUAUUUGGAGUCCAGAAUAAUCACAAAUUGUUAAUCCUGAUAAUGGCUAAGGGGAAAGAUGUUGGCAGGCAGGCAGGCACUUAAGUUACUAUCUACUAAAACAAGAUGCUAUCGUUACUGAAUUGCAACUUCUCUGGAUAAACCAGGGUUAACCUGUGAAAGCUUACGGACCUGUCUUCAGGCACAGUAAAGCUAGAACUGUGUAAGAGUCCUUUAGAGAUGAAAUAUUUUGAUGUCCAUGCUGCACUUUCCUCAGAACCACUUUGCUACAGAAAACUCUGAUCCUGCCCUAAUAUGACUGCUCUCAAUUGGAGUGUGAACUUGGACAGUAUUCUGACAAUUAAUGAAUAUAAAGGUGUGUUGUAAUGUCUUAAUGAAAAUGGUAUCAGGCCAAGGUCUCUCUUUUCUUUCUUUUUAAAAUUCUAUAUGGCUCACUGCCUGUGGAGAAACAGGAGUGCCCUCAACUAACUGCUACUUUUCAGUCUGUUCAGCAGCUUAAACUUGAACUUGUGCAUCAGAUCCUUCUAAGGCCAAAAGAACAUUGCCUUUAAGUGCCAAAUACAUUAGUUACUCCCAUGAGCCAAGUAAUCAACUUAGGAUCCCUGGUACAUUUCUUUGGUUCAGCUGCAAGGCCCCCCUGCUCAGAGAGCUUCCGCUCUUCCAUCUCCAGCUCAGGCGUGGCCAGUAGGCAUCCAAUACCUGCUCCAAAGUUUUAGAAGUAACUUAAGUCAUAGAAUCAAAAUUGCUCGCGAGUCUUCCUGAUAUAUGUCAGCAAUUCUGUUAAUUCAUUGAAGAAAAAAAAAAAGGAAUGUGAAUGUUUACUUUCAUUAAAUCUGUGCUCAAUGAUUUUACAGCAAAGAACAUAUAUAAGUGUUGCACACAAAAUGAAAUUAAUUAACAGACAGGUUAUAUACUGAAGUACAAAAACAAGUGUUUGACUUGGAAAUUGAACUUUAUUUACAAAUGUUCUCCUAUAGACAAAGAUUCCAUUCCACCCCCUUUAAAAUAUUAUAACUAAUACUUCCCAGAAAAAUCAUUUACAUUGUUUUAAUCUUUCUGCAUAAAACAGUAUUAUGGGAUAAGCAAAUAUGGGAUGGUCUAAGACAUAAAAAAACAAAAGACAAUUUAUCCACCAUGAAUGCUCUACUGACUGACAGAAUGAAGAAUUACAAAUCACACCCCUUAAUGUGCUACUCCGAGAAACGGAAACGUGAUAAUUUGGGGAGGUAAAUGCUUCACAAUAAAGUCUUCUUACGUAGUAUGGUUUAAUGGUGAUUGUUAGGAUUGCUCCUGCAGGCUGCUAUUUAUGCUGAUUUUAAAAAAUAAGUCAUUGUUAAAAAGGGCAUAGACUUUUCUAUACAGAUUUUUUUUUUACCUAUGGAAAUAUGUAGAUACUGACCUGGUCUCAUCAUUCAGGCCAAUUAAUAAAAUAACAAACGCAUGAAAAGAACUUAAAACUUAAAGACACAAUCAUCAUGUGACUAACUGACUUACAAAGUUAGAAUUCUCCCAGAAAUCAGAGUAUUGCUCUUCAAUAGUUACUAUGAAUUUGAAUUUUUCAUAGCUGAGACAGUAUACAGACAAAAUAUUUAACCAAAGAGUUCAAAAUAAAAUAAUCCAAAUUUCCUAUCUAACAUUUUAUAUUUUAAAAAUCCUUUAAAUUUUAUCUAGGAGGAUAAUCAUUCUUACAUCAUAGCUAAGUCACAAGGAACUUUGAAAAAAAAAUUCAUCCCUGAGAAGUCAAAGAAAGAAACCUCUAAAAACACAGAAGUGACAGUCCUGCACCCUUUUAACAAUCUUUACCAUAGCAUGAACUUUUAUCAGCAGUCAGCAAUCAAAUGUAUUUCAAUCUGGCCUCUGAUGAUCUGAUCUUUUUGCAAUAAAACUAUAAGUGCAACAUUUAAAAAAAUCAGAUAAAUAGGGACUCUGGUUUUAUUGGCAGGUUUACAUUUUUGUCAAGUCCAAGGUCAGCCAGCUAAGAUAUGUAUGUUCCAAUAAAGACUGAAGUAAUAACUUCUGCUGGCAGCUCUUCUCCUGAGUCUCCAUUUCCCCCAUUGAUCUUCACCCAAAUAGUAAAAGUAAUAUAAUCGCAAUUGAGUUUACUAUUAUCAAUGGCACUGCAAAGAAAAAAAAACAA